UAUGCCUAGCCCUAAACCUUGAUGUUUGUAUUACAAAAACAUCCGCCCGAGAACUACGAGCGCAAACGCUUAAAACUCUAAGGACUUGGCGGUGCCCCAAACCCACCUAGAGGAGCCUGUUCUAUAAUCGACAAUCCACGAUACACCCGACCACUUCUUGCCAAAACAGCCUACAUACCGCCGUCUCCAGCUCACCUUCCUGAAAGCACAACAGUGAGCUCAACAGCCCCAACCCGCUAGCAAGACAGGUCAAGGUAUAGCCUAUGAAGUGGAAGAAAUGGGCUACAUUUUCUAAGGUAGAAAAAUCCAACGAAAGAGGACAUGAAACCUGUCUCCUAGAAGGCGGAUUUAGCAGUAAAGCGGGAUAAUAAUGCCCCCUUUAAACAGGCCCUGGAG
RNAcentral lists this ribosomal RNA (396 nucleotides) under Nestor notabilis (Kea). RNAcentral describes it as "partial 12S ribosomal RNA". It matches the Rfam family "Bacterial small subunit ribosomal RNA", at positions 791 to 1379 of the family's 1533-position model. Lineage: Eukaryota; Metazoa; Chordata; Aves; Psittaciformes; Psittacidae. The record is from RNAcentral.